This 3158-nucleotide long non-coding RNA is filed under the name Mytilus galloprovincialis (Mediterranean mussel). Lineage: Eukaryota; Metazoa; Mollusca; Bivalvia; Mytilida; Mytilidae. The record is from RNAcentral.
AAACUGUAAACAGGAAUAAUGUUCAGCAAAGUAAGAUUUACAAAUAAGUCAACAUGACGGAAAUGGUCAGUUGACCCCUUUAGGAGUUAUUGCCCUUUUAUAGUCAAUUUUUAACCAUUUUUCGUAAAUCUUAGUAAUCUUUUACAAAAAUCUUCUCCUCUGAAACUACUGGGCCAAAUACUUCCAAACUUUAACUGAAUGUUCCUUAGGGUAUCUAGUUUGUAAAUUGUAUCCGAAGUUAUGAUCUAUCAACAAACAUGGUCGCCAUUGCUAAAAAUAGAACAAAGGGGUCAAAUGCAGUUUUUGGCUUAUAACUCAAAAACCAAAGCAUUUAGAGCAAAUCUGACGUGGGUAAUAUUGUUUAUCAGGUCAAGAUCUAUCUGCCCUGAAAUUUUCAGAUGAAUCAGACAACCUGUUGUUGGGUUGCUUCCCCUGAAUUGAUAAUUUUAAGGAAAUUUUGCUGUUUUUGUUUAUUAUCUUGAAUAUAAUUAUAGAUAGAAAUAAACUGUAAACAGCAAUAAUGUUCAGCAAAGUAAGAUCUUCAAUUAAGUCAAUUUGACCAAAAUUGUCAAUUGACCCCUAAAGGAGUUAUUGCCCUUUAAAGACUUUUUUCACAAUUUGUUCAUCAUGUUGACUUACUUUAAAAAAUCUUCUCCUUUGAAACUGCUGUAUCAAUUUCAGCCAAACUUGGGCUAAAUGAGUUUCAGAGUAUCUAGUAUAAAUUUUAUAUUUUAUUUCCUUGUAUGUCAAGAAACAAAGCUCGUAUGGCUAAAAUAGAACAUAAGAGAAAAUGAUUAUUUUUUUUGGCUUUUGAAGAAAAUAGGACGAUCCAAAAAACAUUUAAAUAAAUUGAAAAGCCAAAAUAAUCAUUGAUGAGAGAUUUAACCAAAAGAAUUAAGGUGAGCGAUUCAGGCUCUUGAGAGCCUCUUGUUAGUUUUUGCCCUUGGACAGAUCAAAUAUGUGCAACGCACGGAGCAUUGGGACUAAUAAAUUUAGGGUCCAAAUCAUACAUCAUAUCUAUGUAUAGGCGAAAAAAUGUAAAACUAUAGUAAUUUUCGAAAUUUUUUGUAUUUUUACAAAAAUCUUCUCAUUUAAAACUCUGGUACCCAACACCUUAACUAAAAUUAAUUUGGCUCGUUAAAUGUUCAUAAAAUUUGGACAAAAUAUUUAUUUUAACCCUUUGACAAAAAUAGGAAAAUUUCAAAAAAAAUAAACCACACACUUUAUCGGAAAAUUUUCAUUGGACAAAUAUCAGUUUGACUUACACCGAUUUUAAACGUGAUUGAAACGUUAAGCCGAUUUUUAAAGAGCUAUUUCCUUGUAGUGUUUUGUGCCACCUUUAAUGCAAAUUUGACAAAGGGUAAAAAAAUUCAACAGGUUAAGAUCUAUCUGUCCUAAAAUUUUCAGACGAAUGAGACAACCUGUUGUUGGGUUGAUGCCCCUGAAUUUGGUAAUUGGUAAUUUUAAAGAAAUUUUGCAGGGUUAUCAUCAUGAGUAUUAGUAUAGAUAGAGAUAAACUGUAAACAGCAAUAAUGUUCAUCAAAGUAAGAUCUACAAAUAAGUCAACAUGAUCAAAAUGGUCAAUUGACCCCAUAAGGAGUUACUGCACUUUAAAUUUAAUUUAUAACAAAUAUUCGUAAAUUUUUAUAAUCUUUUACAAAAGUCUUCUCCUCUGAAACAACUGAGACAAAUUUUACCAAACUUGGCCACAAUCAUCAUUAGGGUUUCUAGUUUUAAAAAUGUGUCCGAUUACCCUAUAUAUAUAUAUUCCAACUUAUUCGCUAUUCAUAAGCUUGCAGCUGCUACUCACCAGUGUCUUAGCAGAGAGUUGAUAAACCAGGGGUAUGUCAAGAACGUCCUUUUCACAAAAAAAAAAUCGGAAGGUACCAAGACCUUGAUGAUUAAUAUUCCGUAUCAACUUCAUGAAAAAUAGACGACGGUCUUGAUGUAUAGAUUCUAGGCACUGACGUUGUUUGUCCUUUUGAUAACGUGUUAUAUCUACUAAUCUUUUUUUUGUCUUUAUGAAUUUUAUUUUUUACUGUUUAGUCUGUUGUUUUGUUAAAUCCAUUUGAUGUGACUCUGUACUUAUAAAUCUGCCAUUGGGUUAUUAUCUUAUUGUGUUAUGGUAAUAUUUUUAUAUUCUUUUCUUUUAUUAAUGCUUAUGUGCUUUGUCUUUGUUUCUUUGUUACAAAUGAUGUGGCUCUGUACUUAUACAUCCUCUCAUUGUGUUAUUAAAGAAGCACUAAUUGUCCAAUUCCUGUUCUUCGAUUUGACUCGAUUUUCAUAUUUAACUUAUAACAAUGUAAAACAUUUAUCCAAAUUAUAAAAAUCUAAAACAAACUACUUAUGUUGCACGUGUGUAUGUUAGUCUAGAAUCAUUCUAAUUAACUAUCGAGUUGACAUCCGAAGACCUCUGAGGGUCAUUUAUGCGAUUGAAACGUUACUAUAGAUAAAGAUAAAAGAGAAAUUCUGCAAUCUGAUUUUCCUAAAAUUGUUUAGUUUCCUAUUAUAUAUCAGAAUAAAAUUGAGAAUGGAAAUGGGGAAUGUUUCAAAGAGACAACAACCCGACCAAAGAGCAGACAACAGUCGAAGGUCACCAAUGGGUAUUCAACGCAGUGAGAAACUCCCGCCCCCAGAGGCCUGCCUCAGCCGGCCCUUAGCAAAAAUGUAUACUAGUUCAGUUAUGAUGGACGUCAUAAUAAACUCCGAAAUAUACACAAGAAACUGAAAUUAAGAAUCGUACAAGACUAACAAAGGCUAGAGGCUCCUGGCUUGAGAGAGGUGCAAAAAUGCGGCGGUGUUAAACAUAAAAAUAUAUAUUAAUCAUCGUUUUUACAUUAAUAAGAAACAAAAUUGUGAGUAGAAUCAUUUAAUCAAAUGAUUUACCUAUGUUUCACUUUCAUUGUUGACAUUCUUUUCCAUUAACUAACUUUACACGCACAAUACAUGCGUUAGCUGUCUCUAGAUAAGGGUUAAAUUGAAGUUUAAUCAAAUAUAGAUUCAAUGAGGUCGAAUUAUUCACUUGCAAGUGAAUAACUCAUCAUCCAUGUAUCUUAUCUUAAUUUUGCAAAAUUGAACCAUACUGGCUGCUAAAAGCGAAUUACUAUUUCACUAUUUCACUUUCAUUAUAAUUGAAUAAAAACAAUCAUAUGUUAGCU